GUCCAGGGGCGGGAAUCGAACCCACAACCUUCUGCUUACCGGGCAGGUGCCAUGUCCUCGAGGCUACCCUGGA
Cordylochernes scorpioides is the source of this 73-nucleotide non-coding RNA. NCBI's taxonomy places the organism in Eukaryota, Metazoa, Arthropoda, Arachnida, Pseudoscorpiones, Chernetidae. The record is from the annotation of a GenBank genome assembly.